CCUACGGGAGGCUGCAGUAGGGAAUCUUCCACAAUGGGCGAAAGCCUGAUGGAGCAACGCCGCGUGGGUGAAGAAGGUCUUCGGAUCGUAAAACCCUGUUGUUAGAGAAGAAAGUGCGUGAGAGUAACUGUUCACGUUUCGACGGUAUCUAACCAGAAAGCCACGGCGAACUACGUGCCAGCAGCCGCGGUAAUACGGAGGUGGCAAGCGUUAUCCGGAUUUAUUGGGCGUAAAGGGAACGCAGGCGGUCUUUUAAGUCUUAUGUGAAAGCCUUGGGCUUAACCGGAGUAGUGCAUGGGAAACUGGGAGAGUAGAGUGCAGGAGAGGAGAGUGGAACUCCAGGUGUAGCAGUGAAAUGCGUAGAUAUAUGGAAGAACACCAGUGGCGAAAGCGGCUCUCUGGUCUGUAACUGACGCUGAGGUUCGAAGGCGAGGGUAGCAAACGGGAUUAGAUACCCUAGUAGUC
RNAcentral lists this ribosomal RNA (465 nucleotides) under uncultured bacterium. RNAcentral's name for it is "partial 16S ribosomal RNA". It matches the Rfam family "Bacterial small subunit ribosomal RNA", at positions 338 to 795 of the family's 1533-position model. The record is from RNAcentral.